AUUGAACGCUGGCGGCAUGCCUUACACAUGCAAGUCGAACGGCAGCACGGGUGCUCGUACCUCUUGGCUGAUGGCGGGCGGGUGGGUAAUACAUGGGUACGUAACCUGUUGAUGGGGGUGGCUCGCCACAAGCAGGAUUAGUUCCGCCCACAUAAUGCCGAAGGACGCAAGAGGCCGACGUUCGUGCCUCUUUCGAUUGGGUGUGUGCCUGUGUGAUUAGCUAGUUGGUGGGGGAAAGGCCUACCAAGGCGACGAUCCCUGGCUGGUAUGAGAGGACGACCAGCAACACUGGGACUGAGACACGGCCCAGACUCCUACGGGGAGCAGCAGUGGGGAAUUUUGGACAAGGGGCGAAAGCCUGAUCCAGCAAUGCCGCGGGUGUGAAGAAGGCCUUCGGGUUGGAAAGCACUUUUGUCCGGAAAGAAAUCCUUGGCCCUAAUACGGUCGGGGGAUGACGGUACCGGAAGAAUAAGCACCGGCUAACUACGUG
RNAcentral lists this ribosomal RNA (490 nucleotides) under uncultured bacterium. Its description in RNAcentral is "partial 16S ribosomal RNA". It matches the Rfam family "Bacterial small subunit ribosomal RNA", at positions 30 to 507 of the family's 1533-position model. The record is from RNAcentral.